RNAcentral lists this long non-coding RNA (483 nucleotides) under Amborella trichopoda. Its description in RNAcentral is "long non-coding RNA (ATRI_LNC005335)". The record is from RNAcentral. Lineage: Eukaryota; Viridiplantae; Streptophyta; Magnoliopsida; Amborellales; Amborellaceae.
CCUCCUCUCUAGCCUGAAAGACUCCACGCGGGCUUUCUCCCUUGCCUGGGCUUCUGCAGUUGUAGUCGGCCUGUCUAUAGCUGAAUGGGGAAGGCAGAACUCUUCGUUGAGUUCCUCUAACUAACACAUACAUUCCUUGCUAACACAAGACCUCCAAAGACUAAUUGAAUCACCAGACUGACUAGCACCACUUCCUAAAAGACCAGAAAGUAGCCUACCAAUCGUGGUAAUCACCUCCGACUAUUUGUGUUAGAAUACUGAUGCUUAUCGAUCGGACUAUCUGCCUAUUCUACUACUUACCCCUUCGAAAAAGGAAGACUAGAGAGAACAGUUCAAUCCAAUUAAUCUGCUACUAGCAGAGGCGUGUACUAUUUCCCCAGCUACAGAAGUUUGGUUCCUACAAGAGGUUUUGUUUUGUCAACGAGACAACUACUAAUGUAACCUAAGAAGACUGUCGAUCAGGGAUCGGGAGUCAGAGAAAGG